UUUAUAUAAUUAUGUAUUACCAUUAAAAGUUCUAAAUGAACUAAAUUUUUAUCGAACAUCUAUAAAUUUAAACAUUUUCCGAUUUACGCCAGUUUUUAAAUAUAUGGCAUAUAAUAUAUAUACAGAAGGUAGCCAAUUGUUUUCACAGGUUCACUAACAACAAUGAUAACUAACAAACAUAGAUCCAUAACACAACAUGAAUAUGUUAAUGGUACCGAAAUCAAAGACGCUCUGAAAGUUUUGCCUGGUGUAAUAGAAGUAAUGUACCUAUCCACAGGAAAUAUGCAAGAAACUAAAAUAUGAAGCAGAAUUUUGCAUGAAUGCAGAAACUAAGAUCAAGUAUGGGAAUUUGCUUAGUGGUGCUAUCUUUGUGAAGAAGAGUGUUGGUAGCUGAUACCAGCCAACAUGAUGCUUUCGUGCUAUGAUUCUAUAUUAUCAUUGUAUAUAUAAAAAGUAAAAAAAAUAUUGACAUUGUCACUUUUGAUAUAAAGAUAUUAACAU
Pieris brassicae (large cabbage white) is the source of this 501-nucleotide long non-coding RNA. RefSeq lists it as uncharacterized. NCBI's taxonomy places the organism in Eukaryota, Metazoa, Arthropoda, Insecta, Lepidoptera, Pieridae. The record is from RefSeq and is a predicted model, not a curated record. The transcript is spliced from 2 exons.